GACGGACGCUGGCGGCGUGCUUAACACAUGCAAGUCGAACGGAAAGGCCCUGCUUUUGUGGGGUGCUCGAGUGGCGAACGGGUGAGUAACACGUGAGUAACCUGCACCUGACUUUGGGAUAACUUCAGGAAACUGGGGCUAAUACCGGAUAGGAGCUCCUGCUGCAUGGUGGGGGUUGGAAAGUUUCGGCGGUUGGGGAUGGACUCGCGGCUUAUCAGCUUGUUGGUGGGGUAGUGGCUUACCAAGGCUUUGACGGGUAGCCGGCCUGAGAGGGUGACCGGCCACAUUGGGACUGAGAUACGGCCCAGACUCCUACGGGAGGCAGCAGUGGGGAAUAUUGCACAAUGGGCGGAAGCCUGAUGCAGCAACGCCGCGUGCGGGAUGACGGCCUUCGGGUUGUAAACCGCUUUCGCCUGUGACGAAGCGUGAGUGACGGUAAUGGGUAAAGAAGCACCGGCUAACUACGUG
Molecule: ribosomal RNA, 468 nt
Filed under: uncultured bacterium
Lineage: Bacteria
Description: partial 16S ribosomal RNA
Rfam family: Bacterial small subunit ribosomal RNA
Source: RNAcentral